This is a long non-coding RNA of Ixodes scapularis (black-legged tick), 718 nucleotides long. RefSeq lists it as uncharacterized. The transcript has 3 exons. Lineage: Eukaryota; Metazoa; Arthropoda; Arachnida; Ixodida; Ixodidae. The record is from RefSeq and is a predicted model, not a curated record.
UUCCAUGAGCAGUGGUUAUCAAAACAAGGUACCUAGGAAAGGUGGCGCAAGCUACCGCCCAUUAUCAAGGGUAUAACAGUACAGUCCAGGUCCACAGAGCCGUUAGCCAGGUUACACGGCUCUGCCAGGUUCGCCAGGUUAGCAUCUGUCCAUCCAUCGAUCUUUUCUCAAAGUGUCUCGGGUGGGGCUGGGAAAUGCUUGAGGAUGUGAAAAUGCUCCAAUUUCUCCGAGUUUACCAAAGUUUCAAGGUUUCUUCACGAUCAGUGUGUUCAAGAAAAGCCCACGCUGGGGCAAGCCAGUGACCCUGUCCGGUUGCAACUACGGUUUCUCAACUUCUACCUGGAACAACAAUGGCACACACCUGAGGGAAAAGAACUUUCAAAGGAGGAAGUACUUGCUUGUCAGAAAGUAAUUGGACGUUGCCUAUCACAGAGGCUGAUGGACAUUGCCCGUGACCACCUCGCUCGGAAUGCCUGGCUACAGAUAUGAUGGCGAAUAAUAGGAAACACAAGUGUCGCUCUUGUAGCGUCCCAACUCCUGGCUGCUGAAUCUUCCAUGGACUAUCAAGCUGGAGACGAGCUACAGCACAACAGGGGCCUACCGCACCCGCCUUCUGCUGCUCUACCACCACCAGGAUCGUGGCAUGGAACAGCAUGACACUUCUAUGACGUUGUCAGGCAAAGAUAGAGGGAACUAAAAUAAAGUGACGAUGAGCAUA